GUGGGGAAUCUUGCGCAAUGGGCGAAAGCCUGACGCAGCCAUGCCGCGUGAAUGAUGAAGGUCUUAGGAUUGUAAAAUUCUUUCACCGGGGACGAUAAUGACGGUACCCGGAGAAGAAGCCCCGGCUAACUUCGUGCCAGCAGCCUCGGUAAUACGAAGGGGGCUAGCGUUGCUCGGAAUUACUGGGCGUAAAGGGCGCGUAGGCGGACAGUUUAGUCAGAGGUGAAAGCCCAGGGCUCAACCUUGGAAUUGCCUUUGAUACUGGCUGUCUUGAGUACGGGAGAGGUGAGUGGAACUCCGAGUGUAGAGGUGAAAUUCGUAGAUAUUCGGAAGAACACCAGUGGCGAAGGCGACUCACUGGCCCGUUACUGACGCUGAGGCGCGAAAGCGUGGGGAGCAAACAGGAUUAGAUACCCCAGUAGUCC
This 425-nucleotide ribosomal RNA is filed under the name uncultured bacterium. RNAcentral's name for it is "partial 16S ribosomal RNA". It matches the Rfam family "Bacterial small subunit ribosomal RNA", at positions 354 to 796 of the family's 1533-position model. The record is from RNAcentral.